Molecule: non-coding RNA, 76 nt
Organism: Podarcis lilfordi (Lilford's wall lizard)
Lineage: Eukaryota; Metazoa; Chordata; Lepidosauria; Squamata; Lacertidae
Source: the annotation of a GenBank genome assembly
UCCAACAUAGCUCAGUUGGUAGAGCAUGAGACCCUUAAUGUCAGGGUCAUGGAUUUGAGCCCCACGUUGAGCAAAA